GAGGAAGGCGGGCGGCGUGCCUAAUACAUGCAAGUCGAGCGAACAGACGAGGAGCUUGCUCCUCUGACGUUAGCGGCGGACGGGUGAGUAACACGUGGUUAACCUACCUAUAAGACUGGGAUAACUUCGGGAAACCGGAGCUAAUACCGGAUAAUAUAUUGAACCGCAUGGUUCAAUAGUGAAAGACGGUUUUGCUGUCACUUAUAGAUGGAUCCGCGCCGCAUUAGCUAGUUGGUAAGGUAACGGCUUACCAAGGCAACGAUGCGUAGCCGACCUGAGAGGGUGAUCGGCCACACUGGAACUGAGACACGGUCCAGACUCCUACGGGAGGCAGCAGUAGGGAAUCUUCCGCAAUGGGCGAAAGCCUGACGGAGCAACGCCGCGUGAGUGAUGAAGGUCUUCGGAUCGUAAAACUCUGUUAUUAGGGAAGAACAAAUGUGUAAGUAACUAUGCACGUCUUGACGGUACCUAAUCAGAAAGCCACGGCUAACUACGUG
Molecule: ribosomal RNA, 497 nt
Filed under: uncultured bacterium
Lineage: Bacteria
Description: partial 16S ribosomal RNA
Rfam family: Bacterial small subunit ribosomal RNA
Source: RNAcentral